Molecule: ribosomal RNA, 492 nt
Filed under: uncultured bacterium
Lineage: Bacteria
Description: partial 16S ribosomal RNA
Rfam family: Bacterial small subunit ribosomal RNA
Source: RNAcentral
AGUGAACGCUGGCGGUAGGCCUAACGCAUGCAAGUCGAACGGCAGCACAGUAAGAGCUUGCUCUUACGGGUGGCGAGUGGCGGACGGGUGAGGAAUACAUCGGAAUCUACUUUUUCGUGGGGGAUAACGUAGGGAAACUUACGCUAAUACCGCAUACGACCUACGGGUGAAAGCAGGGGAUCUUCGGACCUUGCGCGAUUGAAUGAGCCGAUGUCGGAUUAGCUAGUUGGCGGGGUAAAGGCCCACCAAGGCGACGAUCCGUAGCUGGUCUGAGAGGAUGAUCAGCCAUACUGGAACUGAGACACGGUCCAGACUCCUACGGGAGGCAGCAGUGGGGAAUAUUGGACAAUGGGCGCAAGCCUGAUCCAGCCAUACCGCGUGGGUGAAGAAGGCCUUCGGGUUGUAAAGCCCUUUUGUUGGGAAAGAAAAGCAGCAGGUUAAUACCCCGCUGUUCUGACGGUACCCAAAGAAUAAGCACCGGCUAACUUCGUG